This 255-nucleotide ribosomal RNA is filed under the name uncultured bacterium. RNAcentral's name for it is "partial small subunit ribosomal RNA". It matches the Rfam family "Bacterial small subunit ribosomal RNA", at positions 26 to 285 of the family's 1533-position model. The record is from RNAcentral.
AGGACGAACGCUGGCGGCGUGCUUAACACAUGCAAGUCGAGCGGAAAGGCCCUUCGGGGUACUCGAGCGGCGAACGGGUGAGUAACACGUGAGCAACCUGCCCUUAGCUCCGGGAUAGCUCCGGGAAACCGGAAUUAAAUACCGGAUACAACCACGGCCGACAUCUGCUGUGGUGGAAAGGAUUCCGGCUAAGGAUGGGCUCGCGGCCUAUCAGCUAGUUGGUGGAGUAACGGCCCACCAAGGCGACGACGGGUA